GACGAACGCUGGCGGCGUGCUUAACACAUGCAAGUCGAACGGAAAGGCCCUGCUUUUGUGGGGUGCUCGAGUGGCGAACGGGUGAGUAACACGUGAGUAACCUGCCCUUGACUUUGGGAUAACUUCAGGAAACUGGGGCUAAUACCGGAUAGGAGCUCCUGCUGCAUGGUGGGGGUUGGAAAGUUUCGGCGGUUGGGGAUGGACUCGCGGCUUAUCAGCUUGUUGGUGGGGUAGUGGCUUACCAAGGCUUUGACGGGUAGCCGGCCUGAGAGGGUGACCGGCCACAUUGGGACUGAGAUACGGCCCAGACUCCUACCGGAGGCAGCAGUGGGGAAUAUUGCACAAUGGGCGGAAGCCUGAUGCAGCAACGCCGCGUGCGGUAUGACGGCCUUCGGUUUGUAAUCCGCUUUCGCCUGUGACGAAGCGUGAGUGACGGUAAUGGGUAAAGAAGCACCGGCUAACUACGUG
Molecule: ribosomal RNA, 468 nt
Filed under: uncultured bacterium
Lineage: Bacteria
Description: partial 16S ribosomal RNA
Rfam family: Bacterial small subunit ribosomal RNA
Source: RNAcentral